Non-coding RNA from Acanthosepion pharaonis, 112 nucleotides. Lineage: Eukaryota; Metazoa; Mollusca; Cephalopoda; Sepiida; Sepiidae. The record is from the annotation of a GenBank genome assembly.
UAUGGUCAUAUCAUGUUGAAACACCAAUUCUUGUUUGAUCACCAAAGUUAAGCAACAUUGAGCUGGUCACUACUUGGAUGGGUAACCGCUGGAUAAUACUAGGUGCUGUAAG